This 802-nucleotide ribosomal RNA is filed under the name uncultured bacterium. Its description in RNAcentral is "bacterial SSU rRNA". It matches the Rfam family "Bacterial small subunit ribosomal RNA", at positions 8 to 796 of the family's 1533-position model. The record is from RNAcentral.
AGAGUUUGAUCAUGGCUCAGGACGAACGCUGGCGGCGUGCCUAACACAUGCAAGUGGAGCGACGAACCGGGCUUCGGCCCGGGGCAAAGCCGCGAACGGGUGAGUAACACGUGGGUAACCUGCCCCGAUGAUCGGGACAACCCGAGGAAACUCGGGCUAAUACCGGAUGUGCCCUCCGACCAUAAGGUCGCUGGGGAAAGGAAGCUUCGGCCUCCGCAUCGGGAUGGGCCCGCGGCGCAUUAGCUUGUUGGUGAGGUAACGGCUCACCAAGGCGACGAUGCGUAGCUGGUCUGAGAGGACGAUCAGCCACACUGGGACUGAGACACGGCCCAGACUCCUACGGGAGGCAGCAGUGGGGAAUCUUGCGCAAUGCGCGAAAGCGUGACGCAGCAACGCCGCGUGGGGGAAGACGGCCUUCGGGUUGUAAACCCCUUUCAGUUGGGACGAAGCUCAGGCGGUGAAUAGCCGUGCGGAGUGACGGUACCUUCAGAAGAAGCCCCGGCUAACUACGUGCCAGCAGCCGCGGUAAUACGUAGGGGGCAAGCGUUGUCCGGAAUCAUUGGGCGUAAAGAGCGUGUAGGCGGUUCGGUAAGUCCGCUGUGAAAGUCCAGGGCUCAACCCUGGAAUGCCGGUGGAAACUGUCGAGCUAGAGUCCGGAAGAGGCGAGUGGAAUUCCUGGUGUAGCGGUGAAAUGCGCAGAUAUCAGGAGGAACACCAAUGGCGAAGGCAGCUCGCUGGGACGGUACUGACGCUGAGACGCGAAAGCGUGGGGAGCAAACAGGAUUAGAUACCCCCGUAGUCC